This 465-nucleotide ribosomal RNA is filed under the name uncultured bacterium. RNAcentral's name for it is "partial 16S ribosomal RNA". It matches the Rfam family "Bacterial small subunit ribosomal RNA", at positions 28 to 506 of the family's 1533-position model. The record is from RNAcentral.
GACGAACGCUGGCGGCGCGCCUAACACAUGCAAGUCGAACGAGCGAGAGAGAGCUUGCUUUCUUGAGCGAGUGGCGAACGGGUGAGUAACGCGUGAGGAACCUGCCUCAAAGAGGGGGACAACAGUUGGAAACGACUGCUAAUACCGCAUAAGCCCACGGUGCCGCAUGGCACAGAGGGAAAAGGAGCAAUCCGCUUUGAGAUGGCCUCGCGUCCGAUUAGCUAGUUGGUGAGGUAACGGCCCACCAAGGCGACGAUCGGUAGCCGGACUGAGAGGUUGAACGGCCACAUUGGGGCUGAGACACGGCCCAGACUCCUACGGGAGGCAGCAGUGGGGAAUAUUGCACAAUGGGGGAAACCCUGAUGCAGCGACGCCGCGUGGAGGAAGAAGGUCUUCGGAUUGUAAACUCCUGUUGUUGGGGAAGAAAAUGACGGUACCCAACAAGGAAGUGACGGCUAACUACGU